This 321-nucleotide long non-coding RNA is filed under the name Coturnix japonica (Japanese quail). Its description in RNAcentral is "lncRNA (ENSCJPG00005018597.1)". The record is from RNAcentral. Lineage: Eukaryota; Metazoa; Chordata; Aves; Galliformes; Phasianidae.
UCAUUAGGAAAGCCACGUGAAUUAAAGAUCAUCAGAAGUGAAGUAGGUCAGAAGACAAUGAUGAAAUUGCGUUAUCAAAGAAUUCAGUCCUAUUCCCAUCGAAGCAAGUAAAUCUGGAUGCUGAGCUAAAUGGAAAGAGAAUUCAUUGCAUUCAUCUACACAGCACCCUAAAAGCCUAGAUGAUAGCAGUAUCCCAGGCUCCAUACUAGCAAAGUACUCUGAGAGUGCAGCUUCUGUCUGUAUGGUAUUUCAAAUUCAAGAGGGACACAGACCAGAGCUCCGAGCUGAACAGAGGCUGGGCAGCAGCGAUGCAUUAUGGUC